Molecule: ribosomal RNA, 909 nt
Filed under: uncultured bacterium
Lineage: Bacteria
Description: bacterial SSU rRNA
Rfam family: Bacterial small subunit ribosomal RNA
Source: RNAcentral
ACGCUGGCGGCGUGCCUAAUACAUGCAAGUAGAACGCUGAAGGAGGAGCUUGCUUCUCUGGAUGAGUUGCGAACGGGUGAGUAACGCGUAGGUAACCUGCCUGGUAGCGGGGGAUAACUAUUGGAAACGAUAGCUAAUACCGCAUAACAGUAGAUGUUGCAUGACAUUUGCUUAAAAGGUGCAAUUGCAUCACUACCAGAUGGACCUGCGUUGUAUUAGCUAGUUGGUGGGGUAACGGCUCACCAAGGCGACGAUACAUAGCCGACCUGAGAGGGUGAUCGGCCACACUGGGACUGAGACACGGCCCAGACUCCCACGGGAGGCAGCAGUAGGGAAUCUUCGGCAAUGGACGGAAGUCUGACCGAGCAACGCCGCGUGAGUGAAGAAGGUUUUCGGAUCGUAAAGCUCUGUUGUAAGAGAAGAACGGGUGUGAGAGUGGAAAGUUCACACUGUGACGGUAUCUUGCCAGAAAGGGACGGCUAACUACGUGCCAGCAGCCGCGGUAAUACGUAGGUCCCGAGCGUUGUCCGGAUUUAUUGGGCGUAAAGCGAGCGCAGGCGGUUAGAUAAGUCUGAAGUUAAAGGCUGUGGCUUAACCAUAGUACGCUUUGGAAACUGUUUAACUUGAGUGCAAGAGGGGAGAGUGGAAUUCCAUGUGUAGCGGUGAAAUGCGUAGAUAUAUGGAGGAACACCGGUGGCGAAAGCGGCUCUCUGGCUUGUAACUGACGCUGAGGCUCGAAAGCGUGGGGAGCAAACAGGAUUAGAUACCCUGGUAGUCCACGCCGUAAACGAUGAGUGCUAGGUGUUAGACCCUUUCCGGGGUUUAGUGCCGCAGCUAACGCAUUAAGCACUCCGCCUGGGGAGUACGACCGCAAGGUUGAAACUCAAAGGAAUUGACGGGGGCCCGCAC